GGUUAAGCGACUAAGCGUACACGGUGGAUGCCCUGGCAGUCAGAGGCGAUGAAGGACGUGCUAAUCUGCGAUAAGCGCCGGUAAGGUGAUAUGAACCGUUAUAACCGGCGAUUUCCGAAUGGGGAAACCCAGUGUGACUCGUCACACUAUCAUUAACUGAAUCCAUAGGUUAAUGAGGCGAACCGGGGGAACUGAAACAUCUAAGUACCCCGAGGAAAAGAAAUCAACCGAGAUUCCCCCAGUAGCGGCGAGCGAACGGGGAGGAGCCCAGAGCCUGAAUCAGCAUGUGUGUUAGUGGAAGCGUCUGGAAAGGCGCGCGAUACAGGGUGACAGCCCCGUACACAAAAGCGCAUGUGCUGUGAGCUCGAUGAGUAGGGCGGGACACGUGGUAUCCUGUCUGAAUAUGGGGGGACCAUCCUCCAAGGCUAAAUACUCCUGACUGACCGAUAGUGAACCAGUACCGUGAGGGAAAGGCGAAAAGAACCCCGGCGAGGGGAGUGAAAAAGAACCUGAAACCGUGUACGUACAAGCAGUGGGAGCCCCACCACUAAGCCAGUGGUGAACUCCACAUACGCAUCCUUUGCUGAGGAUACGGUUAACGGAGCGAAAGCGACGUUCAACCUCAAAAGAAGCAGAGGGGGCUUAGUGGUGGGGUGACUGCGUACCUUUUGUAUAAUGGGUCAGCGACUUAUAUUCUGUAGCAAGGUUAACCGAAUAGGGGAGCCGGAGGGAAACCGAGU
RNAcentral lists this ribosomal RNA (740 nucleotides) under Salmonella enterica. RNAcentral describes it as "partial 23S ribosomal RNA". It matches the Rfam family "Bacterial large subunit ribosomal RNA", at positions 1 to 682 of the family's 2925-position model. Lineage: Bacteria; Pseudomonadati; Pseudomonadota; Gammaproteobacteria; Enterobacterales; Enterobacteriaceae. The record is from RNAcentral.